UACGUAGGGACCGAGCGUUGUCCGGAAUCAUUGGGCGUAAAGAGCGUGUAGGCGGCUAUUUAAGUCCUGCGUGAAAUCCUGCGGCUCAACCGCAGACGGUCGUGGGAAACUGGAUGGCUAGAGUGCGGGAGAGGAGAGUGGAAUUCCCGGUGUAGCGGUGAAAUGCGUAGAUAUCGUGAGGAACACCAGAGGCGAAGGCGGUUACCUGGACAGUUACUGACGCUCAGGCACGAAAGCAUGGGGAGCAAAAGGG
RNAcentral lists this ribosomal RNA (253 nucleotides) under uncultured bacterium. Its description in RNAcentral is "partial 16S ribosomal RNA". It matches the Rfam family "Bacterial small subunit ribosomal RNA", at positions 524 to 776 of the family's 1533-position model. The record is from RNAcentral.